GAUUUUGGUGAAAUCUAUUCAGCCCACAGUGCAAAAUUUUUAGUCAGUUUUCCAUUGCUAAAACAAAAUUCCCAGACUAGGCAAAAAAAAAAAAAUCUCCUUAAAAAGAGAUUUAUUUAGCUCAUAAUUUUGGAGACUCAAAGUCUGAGAUUGAGUAGGUAGCCACAUGACUUUGUCCUCUGGUGAGGGCCCCUUGGCUAUAUCCCAUCAUGGCAGAUGGCAUCAUCGUGGGAGUACCUGUGACCGGGAGAGAUCACACAAGAAACAGGGAGCCCAAGGACAAGGAGGAGCCAGGAUUUCUCUUUCCUCACAAUUUACCCUUUCCAUAACUCACUCACUCUCGGUGAAUUACAAAAAUUCCUUUACAGGGCAAUGCCCCGAUCCCCUCUCACUGGGCUUCACCUCUUCAAGAUUCUUCAAGAUUACAUCAGCUCACAUUGCCACACUGAGGACCAAACUUCCUCGGGUCCAAAGAAGGUGAGCUGAUGGCAGGUGAAGCUGAUGCCAUUCCUAAGAAUCCUGGGAUGAUGUCACAUAAGCAAAGAAGUGGCUCUACUCUAACUGACGUCACAGCCAUUUACUUGACUACUGGACUUCUGUUCCUUUGAGAGCCUAAAUCAUUCCUAAAGUCAUAGCACAAAAGGUUGGAGUGUGGGUGGGAGAGAGGAUAGGGUGGGAAGUAUCACUAUAUUCCUAAAUCUGUAUAUAUGAAAUAUAUGAAACUUAUGUAAUCGAAAUAAAAUUUUAAAAAAUUCAUAGCA
This 761-nucleotide long non-coding RNA is filed under the name Oryctolagus cuniculus (rabbit). RNAcentral's name for it is "lncRNA (ENSOCUG00000035519.1)". The record is from RNAcentral. Lineage: Eukaryota; Metazoa; Chordata; Mammalia; Lagomorpha; Leporidae.